AACGAACGCUGGCGGAGUGCUUAAGACAUGCAAGUCGUACGAGAAAGCCACCUUCGGGUGGCCGGUAAAGUGGCGCACGGGUGAGUAACGCGUGGGUAAUCUGCCUUCGGAUCUGGGACAACCCCGGGAAACUGGAGCUAAUACCGGAUAAGACUACGAGAUCCCUGGAUCUCGCCGGAAAAGGUGGCCUCUCCUUGGAAGCUACCGUCCGAAGAUGAGCCCGCGUCCCAUUAGCUAGUUGGUGAGGUAACGGCUCACCAAGGCGACGAUGGGUAGCUGGUCUGAGAGGAUGACCAGCCACACUGGAACUGAGACACGGUCCAGACUCCUACGGGAGGCAG
Molecule: ribosomal RNA, 341 nt
Filed under: uncultured Pseudomonadota bacterium
Lineage: Bacteria; Pseudomonadati; Pseudomonadota
Description: bacterial SSU rRNA
Rfam family: Bacterial small subunit ribosomal RNA
Source: RNAcentral